ACGGAAGCCAGCUACCAUGCAGUCGACGGUGAAGCGGAGCUUGCUCUGCUGGAUCAGUGGCGAACGGGUGAGUAACACGUGAGCAAUCUGCCCCUGACUCUGGGAUAAGCGCUGGAAACGGCGUCUAAUACCGGAUACGAGCUGCGAAGGCAUCUUCAGCAGCUGGAAAGAAUUUCGGUCAGGGAUGAGCUCGCGGCCUAUCAGCUUGUUGGUGAGGUAACGGCUCACCAAGGCGUCGACGGGUAGCCGGCCUGAGAGGGUGACCGGCCACACUGGGACUGAGACACGGCCCAGACUCCUACGGGAGGCAGCAGUGGGGAAUAUUGCACAAUGGGCGAAAGCCUGAUGCAGCAACGCCGCGUGAGGGACGACGGCCUUCGGGUUGUAAACCUCUUUUAGCAGGGAAGAAGCGAAAGUGACGGUACCUGCAGAAAAAGCGCCGGCUAACUACGUGCCAGCAGCCGCGGUAAUACGUAGGGCGCAAGCGUUAUCCGGAAUUAUUGGGCGUAAAGAGCUCGUAGGCGGUUUGUCGCGUCUGCUGUGAAAACCCGAGGCUCAACCUCGGGCCUGCAGUGGGUACGGGCAGACUAGAGUGCGGUAGGGGAGAUUGGAAUUCCUGGUGUAGCGGUGGAAUGCGCAGAUAUCAGGAGGAACACCGAUGGCGAAGGCAGAUCUCUGGGCCGUAACUGACGCUGAGGAGCGAAAGGGUGGGGAGCAAACAGGCUUAGAUACCCUGGUAGUCCACCCCGUAAACGUUGGGAACUAGUUGUGGGGACCAUUCCACGGGUUUCCGUGACGCAGCUAACGCAUUAAGUUCCCCGCCUGGGGAGUACGGGCCGCAAGGCUAAAACUCAAAGGAAUUGACGGGGACCCGCACAGCGGCGGAGCAUGCGGAUUAAUUUCGAUGCAACGCGAGACCUUACCAAGGCUUGACAUAUACGAGACGG
RNAcentral lists this ribosomal RNA (947 nucleotides) under Microbacterium schleiferi. Its description in RNAcentral is "bacterial SSU rRNA". It matches the Rfam family "Bacterial small subunit ribosomal RNA", at positions 39 to 998 of the family's 1533-position model. The record is from RNAcentral. Lineage: Bacteria; Bacillati; Actinomycetota; Actinomycetes; Micrococcales; Microbacteriaceae.